AUGGCGCUGUUUGCGGGACACACGACUAGCAUCAUGCCUGCUGCUGUUUGGAAGGUUUGGGCCCCUCCGAAAUGCAAGUUUUUGCUUGGGUUCAUAAUUCAAAACAGAGUAUGGACGGCCGAUCGAUUGCUCCGCCGUGGCUGGCCGAACUGCAACCUUUGCCCGCUUUGCAAGCAAUUCCAGGAAAUGGCGGCGCAUCUUCUCUUCCAGUGUAGGUUCUCCCAGCGUGUUUGGGUUGAGGUUGCUGCGUGGAUUAGCCUACAUGGUGAUGUGGUGAGGAGCUGGAGAGUUGAGGCUUCAGUUCGAGAUUGGUGGAUUUAA
Molecule: ribosomal RNA, 321 nt
Filed under: Triticum aestivum (bread wheat)
Lineage: Eukaryota; Viridiplantae; Streptophyta; Magnoliopsida; Poales; Poaceae
Description: partial small subunit ribosomal RNA
Source: RNAcentral